UCCUGGUGGCUCAGAGGUUAAAGCGUCUGCCUCCAAUGCAGGAGACCCACGUUGAAUUCCUGGGUCAGGAA
RNAcentral lists this transfer RNA (71 nucleotides) under Ovis aries (sheep). It matches the Rfam family "tRNA". Rfam says of the family: Transfer RNA (tRNA) molecules are approximately 80 nucleotides in length. Their secondary structure includes four short double-helical elements and three loops (D, anti-codon, and T loops). Lineage: Eukaryota; Metazoa; Chordata; Mammalia; Artiodactyla; Bovidae. The record is from Rfam by way of RNAcentral.